CAGUCGCCGCGGUAAUACGUAGGUGGCAAGCGUUGUCCGGAAUUAUUGGGCGUAAAGGGCUCGCAGGCGGUUUCUUAAGUCUGAUGUGAAAGCCCCCGGCUCAACCGGGGAGGGUCAUUGGAAACUGGGAAACUUGAGUGCAGAAGAGGAGAGUGGAAUUCCACGUGUAGCGGUGAAAUGCGUAGAGAUGUGGAGGAACACCAGUGGCGAAGGCGGCUUUCUGGACGAAAACUGACGCUGAGGCGCGAAAGCUAGGGGAGCGAACGGGAUUAGAUACCCCGGUAGUCCCUGUCUCUUAUAC
This 301-nucleotide ribosomal RNA is filed under the name uncultured bacterium. Its description in RNAcentral is "partial 16S ribosomal RNA". It matches the Rfam family "Bacterial small subunit ribosomal RNA", at positions 509 to 807 of the family's 1533-position model. The record is from RNAcentral.